Molecule: long non-coding RNA, 1231 nt
Organism: Sebastes umbrosus (honeycomb rockfish)
Lineage: Eukaryota; Metazoa; Chordata; Actinopteri; Perciformes; Sebastidae
Exons: 3
Source: RefSeq, a predicted model, not a curated record
UGAGAUGGAUUAUUUCUAAAACGACUUUGAUCCUUGUUGGGUUUAUAAACUGGGUGAUACAAGUGUUAACAUUCCAAAAACUAGGUACUGAUCCAUCACCUUCAGUUACACAGCAGCACCGUGCUCAUGCGCGCUCUUAUUUUGAAAAUGGCAACUUCCGGUCGCAGAAUAUGAAUUUGCAGUGAGCACCAUGCUGAGCGCUAACUAACAGUUAAAUCAUUGUUUUUCUCAGUACUUUCUGCCAUUGUUAACGCUACACCAAAUGAUUAACCAGUCUAACUAAUUGAUGAUAAAAAAAAUACCCGUUAAUAGCCUAAUAUGAGUGUAUUUAGGUUAGUUAGGCCUAAUCAAACUCCUACCAAAUUCGUAGCUAGCUAGCUGGUUACCACUGGCAACCGUCUCCAGACUAAGAGCCGUGGAGAGGACUGUUUUGUUUUGGGGGGAUGAACCUGAACUGGCAACCUUAGAGUCUCCCCCUGACUCUGUGUAGCUGCUGCUUCAUGCAUCUUUAAAAGAUGAGAGGGAGGCUCCACUUUCUCACGCCAUGUAUGACGAGGAGGGAGAAAGCACGAGGCAGAUGAAGGAGAAACAGUAGGUGCCUAACCCACAUACGGUAUACACACGCACACACUCUACUACAAUAUCUUAUAUAAAACAUCCUUUGUCUCUUUUUUUUUUACUUGGUGUCGUGAGGUAUUCCCCAAAUCCUCUGCAUUUCGUGCCGCUCUCGGUGAAUCUCAUCAGGAUAAUUAUUCGCGCACAGGCAUCCGAGGCACGAGCAUCUGCCUCUCCUUCUGUUGACCUCCCCCUGCCUCCCCCUCAUUUUUUACUUUCCCAUCCUCCUCUCGAACACACCUUUCACUUCUUUUCCCAUCCUUGUCAUCCUCCUUCUCUCUAACUCUUCUCCUCUCCUUAUGCUCAAGCCCAUUUCUUUGUUAACUAGAGCAUCUCUCCCAUUUAUUAGCCAUUUCACAGUCUUUGCAAAUUACAAACGUAUUCUACAUAAAGGGGGGAAGAAGUGAUGCAAGGGGGGGUGGACAGGUGACAGGCAGAAAAGCACAGAUUUGCAGAGAAUAUUAUAGAAAAUAUGCCUCAAAGAAUAAGGGGGAAUAUGGACAUUUUUGAUCGGUUAUACCAAAAAUGUUGCAAUCAGAUACUCAUUCAAGCCGUGCUUGUAGGGCUGCACAAUAAAUCGAAUAUUAAUCACAAUGAAGAUUUUGGCUUCCCACAA